CCUACGGGAGGCAGCAGUGAGGAAUAUUGGUCAAUGGGCGCGAGCCUGAACCAGCCAAGCCGCGUGAAGGAUGACUGCCCUACGGGUUGUAAACUUCUUUUAUAAAGGAAUAAAGUGGGGCACGUGUGUCUUUUUGUAUGUACUUUAUGAAUAAGGAUCGGCUAACUCCGUGCCAGCAGCCGCGGUAAUACGGAGGAUCCGAGCGUUAUCCGGAUUUAUUGGGUUUAAAGGGAGCGUAGAUGGGUUGUUAAGUCAGUUGUGAAAGUUUGCGGCUUAACCGGAAAAUUGCAAUUGAUACUGGCAGCCUUGAGUACAGUUGAGGUAGGCGGAAUUCGUGGUGUAGCGGUGAAAUGCUUAGAGAUCACGAAGAACACCGAUUGCGAAGGCAGCUUACUAAACUGCCACUGACAUUGAUGCUCGAAAGUGUGGGUAUCAAACAGGAUUAGAUACCCUUGUAGUC
Molecule: ribosomal RNA, 460 nt
Filed under: uncultured bacterium
Lineage: Bacteria
Description: partial 16S ribosomal RNA
Rfam family: Bacterial small subunit ribosomal RNA
Source: RNAcentral